Molecule: ribosomal RNA, 408 nt
Filed under: uncultured bacterium
Lineage: Bacteria
Description: bacterial SSU rRNA
Rfam family: Bacterial small subunit ribosomal RNA
Source: RNAcentral
CAGUGGGGGAUAUUGCGCAAUGGGGGAAACCCUGACGCAGCAACGCCGCGUGAAGGAAGAAGGUCUUCGGAUUGUAAACUUUUGUCUUUGGGGAAGAAAAAAAUGACGGUACCCAAGGAGGAAGCCCCGGCUAACUACGUGCCAGCAGCCGCGGUAAUACGUAGGGGGCAAGCGUUGUCCGGAAUUAUUGGGCGUAAAGGGCGCGUAGGCGGGCCUUUAAGUCCGGUGUGAAAGAUCAGGGCUCAACCCUGAGAGUGCAUCGGAAACUGGAGGCCUUGAGGACAGGAGAGGAAAGUGGAAUUCUACGUGUAGCGGUGAAAUGCGUAGAUAUGUGGAGGAACACCAGUGGCGAAGGCGACUUUCUGAACUGUAACUGGCGCUGAGGCGCGAAAGCGUGGGGAGCAAACA